Molecule: ribosomal RNA, 726 nt
Filed under: Bacillus sp. A3(2015)
Lineage: Bacteria; Bacillati; Bacillota; Bacilli; Caryophanales; Bacillaceae
Description: bacterial SSU rRNA
Rfam family: Bacterial small subunit ribosomal RNA
Source: RNAcentral
CAGUCGAGCGGAUCUUCAUUAGCUUGCUUUUGAAGAUCAGCGGCGGACGGGUGAGUAACACGUGGGCAACCUGCCUGUAAGACUGGGAUAACUUCGGGAAACCGGAGCUAAUACCGGAUAAUCCUUUUCCUCUCAUGAGGAAAAGCUGAAAGACGGUUUCGGCUGUCACUUACAGAUGGGCCCGCGGCGCAUUAGCUAGUUGGUGAGGUAACGGCUCACCAAGGCGACGAUGCGUAGCCGACCUGAGAGGGUGAUCGGCCACACUGGGACUGAGACACGGCCCAGACUCCUACGGGAGGCAGCAGUAGGGAAUCUUCCGCAAUGGACGAAAGUCUGACGGAGCAACGCCGCGUGAGCGAUGAAGGCCUUCGGGUCGUAAAGCUCUGUUGUCAGGGAAGAACAAGUACCGGAGUAACUGCCGGUACCUUGACGGUACCUGACCAGAAAGCCACGGCUAACUACGUGCCAGCAGCCGCGGUAAUACGUAGGUGGCAAGCGUUGUCCGGAAUUAUUGGGCGUAAAGCGCGCGCAGGCGGUUCCUUAAGUCUGAUGUGAAAGCCCCCGGCUCAACCGGGGAGGGUCAUUGGAAACUGGGGAACUUGAGUGCAGAAGAGGAGAGCGGAAUUCCACGUGUAGCGGUGAAAUGCGUAGAGAUGUGGAGGAACACCAGUGGCGAAGGCGGCUCUCUGGUCUGUAACUGACGCUGAGGCGCGAAAGCGUGGGGAG